ACGGGGAGCAGCAGGCGCGAAACCUUUACACUGCACGCCAGUGCGAUAAGGGGACCCCGAGUGCGAGGGCAUACAGUCCUCGCUUUUCGUGACCGUAAGAAGGUCUCAGAGUAAGUGCUGGGCAAGACCGGUGCCAGCCGCCGCGGUAAUACCGGCAGCACGAGUGAUAGCCACUAUUAUUGGGCCUAAAGCGUCCGUAGCCGGCUACACAGGUCCGUCGGGAAAUCCACCCGCUCAACGGGUGGGCGUCCGGCGGAAACCAGGUAGCUUGGGGCCGGAAGACCAGAGGGGUACGUCCGGGGUAGGAGUGAAAUCCCGUAAUCCUGGACGGACCACCGGUUGCGAAAGCGCCUCUGGAGAACGGACCCGACGGUGAGGGACGAAAGCUUGGGUCUCGAACCGGAUUAGAUACCCGGGUAGUCCAAGCUGUAAACGAUGCUCGCUAGGUGCGGCGCAGGCUACGAGCUUGCGCUGUGCCGUAGGGAAGCCGAGAAGCGAGCCGCCUGGGAAGUACGUCCGCAAGGAUGAAACUUAAAGGAAUUGGCGGGGGAGCAC
Molecule: ribosomal RNA, 555 nt
Filed under: uncultured Halobacterium sp.
Lineage: Archaea; Methanobacteriati; Methanobacteriota; Halobacteria; Halobacteriales; Halobacteriaceae
Description: bacterial SSU rRNA
Rfam family: Archaeal small subunit ribosomal RNA
Source: RNAcentral